GCUGGGUGUAGUGGCUUACACCUGUAAUCCCAGCACUUUGGGAGGCUGAGGUGGGUGGAUCACCUGAGUUCAGGAGUUCGAGACCAGCCUGGACAACAUGGUGAAACCCCAUCUCUA
Molecule: non-coding RNA, 117 nt
Filed under: Nomascus leucogenys (northern white-cheeked gibbon)
Lineage: Eukaryota; Metazoa; Chordata; Mammalia; Primates; Hylobatidae
Source: Rfam by way of RNAcentral